RNAcentral lists this ribosomal RNA (253 nucleotides) under uncultured bacterium. Its description in RNAcentral is "partial 16S ribosomal RNA". It matches the Rfam family "Bacterial small subunit ribosomal RNA", at positions 524 to 776 of the family's 1533-position model. The record is from RNAcentral.
UACGAAGGGGGCUAGCGUUGCUCGGAAUGACUGGGCGUAAAGGGCGCGUAGGCGGCCUCGUCCGUCCGGCGUGAAAUGCCUGGGCUUAACCUAGGAAUUGCGCUCGAUACAGCGAGGCUAGAGUGUGGGAGAGGUUGGUGGAAUUCCCAGUGUAGAGGUGAAAUUCGUAGAUAUUGGGAAGAACACCGGUGGCGAAGGCGGCCAACUGGACCACAACUGACGCUGAGGCGCGAAAGCGUGGGGAGCAAACAGG